This 281-nucleotide long non-coding RNA is filed under the name Elaeis guineensis (African oil palm). RNAcentral describes it as "long non-coding RNA (EGUI_LNC005542)". Lineage: Eukaryota; Viridiplantae; Streptophyta; Magnoliopsida; Arecales; Arecaceae. The record is from RNAcentral.
CCUGGCUGACAUCCACGAACCUCCCAUCCAAAGGUUGGAGAUCCACCCAUCUACCUCUAAAUCAAUCUCACCCUCAGACAGCAUAGAAAGACGUGUUCUGUCGACUCCUCCUCUAGUCUGUAGAUAGGGCAGAACGUCGGGAUCUCCAUGUCCCUGCCCCUAAGCACCACCCAUGUUGGGAGCUAGUCCCAGACAACCUUUCACAAAAAGAGCCACAUCCUGGGGUGAGUAGUCACUCUCCAGAUCCAGACACCUUUAAUCUUGAAACUCGUCGCAGGCCU